Molecule: long non-coding RNA, 577 nt
Organism: Lagopus muta (rock ptarmigan)
Lineage: Eukaryota; Metazoa; Chordata; Aves; Galliformes; Phasianidae
Exons: 3
Source: RefSeq, a predicted model, not a curated record
UCUGUUUCCUGCUUCGUUGUAGUAAAUGAUUGCUGCAGUGUUGGGCCCGCUUAUUGUAAGAAAGAGGCGCUGCGAUAAGAACAAAUACUUCCUUAGUAUCAAGAGUCCUCAUAAAUAGUUUAAUUUUGGUUUGUUUCCUACUGCUGAGUAGCUGGGGCCUGCAGACUGAAGCAAUACUCCUGAGAAGCUGUAGUAUCUUAAAAGGCUAUCUCUGAAGUUCUCCGUGAGAAGUACUUAAAACUACACUGAAGAUUAAAGAGGAAAAAAAGAAAAAAAAAAAAAGAUUGUUCAGAAUGCUUUGGACACCACUGGUAGAAUUGGUUUGGGAAUUUCUCCCUUCAUGAGUUGCAAAAAUCUGAAUGUGCCUUCCAGUCUGCAGGAGGAUCGUGGCUGUGGUUGUUUGUAUGAAUAUGCCAUUUAUAUGAAUAUUUGUUUCCUGAUUUUGGAUAUACAGUAGAAUUUUAACAAAAAUAAGCUGCCUUUCCAACAGCUUUAAAAAUGUCUGUCAAGUGCUGUGCCAAAAAGCACAGUGAUGUCAUAAUCAGAGGUAUCUACUCCUGAAGUUUUAGGUUACUUU